Juglans microcarpa x Juglans regia is the source of this 1134-nucleotide long non-coding RNA. RefSeq lists it as uncharacterized. The record is from RefSeq and is a predicted model, not a curated record. The transcript has 2 exons. Lineage: Eukaryota; Viridiplantae; Streptophyta; Magnoliopsida; Fagales; Juglandaceae.
AUUUAGUUGUGAGGUUGUAGUCAUGUGGUCUGCCCAGUUCAAUUGAUUGUGCAAUGUUAUUGUGUCUAACUAUGCCGUUUCUUAGAUUUCUUUUUUUUUAAAUCAAAUUUUGACAAAAUUCUUAUUUGGUUACAUAACUUGCAACUUAUUAUCACAUCAUUGGGGUCUAAUGUGGAAUAUCUGGAGUAGGGUGGGUUUUGGAGGAUAAAGUGUCACAAUAAUUUAACAAAUUUAUAGAUUAGAAUUUAUAUGAGGACCAUGAGGUCUAAGAAUUUGACAGAUUUGAAUAUGUAGAGUGUAUUUAUGCAUGAACAAUGGAUUGUGUGAUGGAUUUAGGUUGGGCUUAAAUGAUAAAUGAAUUAAAAUUCCUUUGGGCAGCAAGCAUGCUGUAUGUUUUUGGUAAGUGGUCGAGGCCUUACUUCACCAGAAAUUAUGUAAGUGGUCCCGCUUUUCUCCUCUCUUCUUUUUAUUUUUCUCGCGCCUAAUGAACAUAUAUUUAUAUUUGCUUUGUAACAAAAUCUGCACCCAAUUAGCUUAGUUUAGGUUGGGAUGUGUCACUCUAGAACCUUGCAUAACCAAUUUUAUGAGCAGAAAACACAUCUAAGUACUCAAAGAUUCUGGUAAUGAGGUUGGGUUGAGUGCAGCUUACCCAAGAUUCAUUUGUUUUCCCAAGUCCCAAAUGGCAAAUACUCAUGUUUCUCUUAAAAUAAUGUUGACUGGCAUCUAGUUGUGUUCAAAGCUAAAAUUAUUACAAUUUUAUGUGUCAAUACAAGUUUUGCAGAAUGUACAGCUAACCUACAUGGCAAAUGGGGUAAAACAAACUAUGUGGAAAAUUUAUUGGAUUUUUCUUUGAAAAGUAAUCCUUGUGAAGGUUAUGUUUGCAGGUGAUCUUGCAUAUAUGUUAUCCGUUGACAUGUAUAAAGGUCUUUCAGGGCGAACGUUGACUCUAAAACUGAAAACAUCAUCAUUUGAGAACCAAAGCUAUGACUUUACAACAGUAUAUUUGCUCAAGCGAUAAUAUUUUGAAAUACGCUUCAAAUCUGGUAAAGGCUGAACUUGAUAGUGAUGAAUUGUUUUGAAGUGUUUUGGAGUUGUAGGGAGUUUGUAAAGUAUGACGAUGAUGUUGGUUUAAUA